This 605-nucleotide ribosomal RNA is filed under the name Sphingorhabdus wooponensis. RNAcentral's name for it is "bacterial SSU rRNA". It matches the Rfam family "Bacterial small subunit ribosomal RNA", at positions 97 to 737 of the family's 1533-position model. Lineage: Bacteria; Pseudomonadati; Pseudomonadota; Alphaproteobacteria; Sphingomonadales; Sphingorhabdaceae. The record is from RNAcentral.
GGCGCACGGGUGCGUAACGCGUGGGAAUCUGCCCUUUGCUACGGAAUAACUCAGAGAAAUUUGUGCUAAUACCGUAUGAUGUCGCAAGACCAAAGAUUUAUCGGCAAAGGAUGAGCCCGCGUAAGAUUAGCUUGUUGGUGAGGUAAAAGCUCACCAAGGCGACGAUCUUUAGCUGGUCUGAGAGGAUGAUCAGCCACACUGGGACUGAGACACGGCCCAGACUCCUACGGGAGGCAGCAGUGGGGAAUAUUGGACAAUGGGCGAAAGCCUGAUCCAGCAAUGCCGCGUGAGUGAUGAAGGCCUUAGGGUUGUAAAGCUCUUUUACCAGGGAUGAUAAUGACAGUACCUGGAGAAUAAGCUCCGGCUAACUCCGUGCCAGCAGCCGCGGUAAUACGGAGGGAGCUAGCGUUGUUCGGAAUUACUGGGCGUAAAGCGUGCGUAGGCGGUUAUUCAAGUCAGAGGUGAAAGCCUGGAGCUCAACUCCAGAACUGCCUUUGAAACUAGAUAACUAGAAUCUUGGAGAGGUGAGUGGAAUUCCGAGUGUAGAGGUGAAAUUCGUAGAUAUUCGGAAGAACACCAGUGGCGAAGGCGACUCACUGGACAAG